UACGUAGGGUGCGAGCGUUGUCCGGAAUUAUUGGGCGUAAAGAGCUUGUAGGCGGUCUGUCGCGUCUGCUGUGAAAAUCCGGGGCUCAACCCCGGACUUGCAGUGGGUACGGGCAGACUAGAGUGUGGUAGGGGAGACUGGAAUUCCUGGUGUAGCGGUGAAAUGCGCAGAUAUCAGGAGGAACACCGAUGGCGAAGGCAGGUCUCCGGGCCACUACUGACGCUGAGAAGCGAAAGCAUGGGGAGCGAACAGG
RNAcentral lists this ribosomal RNA (253 nucleotides) under uncultured bacterium. RNAcentral describes it as "partial 16S ribosomal RNA". It matches the Rfam family "Bacterial small subunit ribosomal RNA", at positions 524 to 776 of the family's 1533-position model. The record is from RNAcentral.